RNAcentral lists this unclassified non-coding RNA (524 nucleotides) under Hevea brasiliensis (rubber tree). Lineage: Eukaryota; Viridiplantae; Streptophyta; Magnoliopsida; Malpighiales; Euphorbiaceae. The record is from RNAcentral.
GGGUGAUGCAUUCAACAUGCGCCACCCCUUGACUGGUGGAGGAAUGACUGUAGCAUUAUCUGAUAUCGUUGUAUUGCGUGAUCUUCUCAAACCUCUUCGUGAUUUGAAUGAUGCAUCUACUCUUUGCAGAUAUCUGGAGUCAUUUUACACCUUGCGUAAGCCUGUGGCCUCCACCAUCAAUACAUUGGCUGGUGCCUUGUAUAAGGUAUUUUGUGCUUCACCUGAUCAAGCUAGGAAGGAGAUGCGUGAAGCAUGCUUUGAUUAUUUGAGCCUCGGUGGAGUAUUCUCAGAAGGACCAGUAUCUUUGCUUUCUGGCUUAAACCCUCGUCCAUUAAGUCUCGUUUGUCAUUUCUUUGCUGUGGCUAUCUUUGGUGUUGGCCGCUUGCUGCUUCCUUUCCCAUCACCGAAACGUAUAUGGAUUGGAGCCCGGCUAAUAUCGAGUGCAUCUGCAAUCAUUUUCCCUAUCAUCAAGGCAGAAGGGGUCAGACAGAUGUUCUUCCCUGCUACUGUUCCCGCAUAUUACA